AGUGAACGCUGGCGGUAGGCCUAACACAUGCAAGUCGAACGGCAGCACAGUAAGAGCUUGCUCUUACGGGUGGCGAGUGGCGGACGGGUGAGGAAUACAUCGCAAUCUACUUUUUCGUGGGGGAUAACGUAGGGAAACUUACGCUAAUACCGCAUACGACCUACGGGUGAAAGCAGGGGAUCUUCGGACCUUGCGCGAUUGAAUGAGCCGAUGUCGGAUUAGCUAGUUGGCGGGGUAAAGGCCCACCAAGGCGACGAUCCGUAGCUGGUCUGAGAGGAUGAUCAGCCACACUGGAACUGAGACACGGUCCAGACUCCUACGGGGGGCAGCAGUGGGGAAUAUUGGACAAUGGGCGCAAGCCUGAUCCAGCCAUACCGCGUGGGUGAAGAAGGCCUUCGGGUUGUAAAGCCCUUUUGUUGGGAAAGAAAAGCAGCAGGUUAAUACCCCGCUGUUCUGACGGUACCAAAAGAAUAAGCACCGGCUAACUUCGUG
This 492-nucleotide ribosomal RNA is filed under the name uncultured bacterium. Its description in RNAcentral is "partial 16S ribosomal RNA". It matches the Rfam family "Bacterial small subunit ribosomal RNA", at positions 29 to 507 of the family's 1533-position model. The record is from RNAcentral.